GAUGAAGAACGUAGCGAAAUGCGAUACUUGGUGUGAAUUGCAGAAUCCCGUGAACCAUCGAGUCUUUGAACGCAAGUUGCGCCCGAAGCCAUUAGGCCGAGGGCACGCCUGCCUGGGCGUCACACGUCGUUGCCCCCCCAUCUACUCCUUCGGGAUUGCGGGGGGCGGAUGAUGGCCUCUCGUGCGCCUCGUCGCGCGGUUGGCCUAAAUGCCAAGUCCUCGGCGACGCACGCCACGACAAUCGGUGGUUGCGAAACCUCGGUUGCCUGUCGUGUGCGGUCGUCGCGCAUCGAGGGCUCGAAAAAAUUGCCGGGCUUCGGCUCGACUUUCAACGCGACCCCAAGUCAGGCGGGGUUACCCGCUGAAUUUAAGCAUAUCAAUAAGCGGAGGA
Molecule: unclassified non-coding RNA, 391 nt
Filed under: soil metagenome
Description: partial contains 5.8S ribosomal RNA, internal transcribed spacer 2, and large subunit ribosomal RNA
Rfam family: 5.8S ribosomal RNA (bases 1-122)
Source: RNAcentral